RNAcentral lists this long non-coding RNA (239 nucleotides) under Nicotiana benthamiana. RNAcentral describes it as "long non-coding RNA (NBEN_LNC001077)". Lineage: Eukaryota; Viridiplantae; Streptophyta; Magnoliopsida; Solanales; Solanaceae. The record is from RNAcentral.
CGCAAUCUAGCCAUGUCAUGCCUAAUCACCUCUCCCCAAUACCUCUUAGGCCUCCCUCUGCCACGUCGUACGCCGACCAUCGCCAGCCGCUCACAACUCCUCACCGUGGCAUCAGGACUUCUCCUCCGCACAUGUACGAACAACCUCAGCCUCGCUUUUCGCAUCUUCUCAUCCAGCGGGGCCACCCCCACCUUCUCUCGAAUAACUUCAUUGUUAAUCUUAUCUAACCUGGUGAGCCC